This 1343-nucleotide ribosomal RNA is filed under the name uncultured bacterium. RNAcentral describes it as "16S ribosomal RNA". It matches the Rfam family "Bacterial small subunit ribosomal RNA", at positions 28 to 1378 of the family's 1533-position model. The record is from RNAcentral.
GACGAACGCUGGCGGCGUGCUUAACACAUGCAAGUCGAACGGAAAGGCCCUGCUUUUGUGGGGUGCUCGAGUGGCGAACGGGUGAGUAACACGUGAGUAACCUGCCCUUGACUUUGGGAUAACUUCAGGAAACUGGGGCUAAUACCGGAUAGGAGCUCCUGCUGCAUGGUGGGGGUUGGAAAGUUUCGGCGGUUAGGGAUGGACUCGCGGCUUAUCAGCUUGUUGGUGGGGUAGUGGCUUACCAAGGCUUUGACGGGUAGCCGGCCUGAGAGGGUGACCGGCCACAUUGGGACUGAGAUACGGCCCAGACUCCUACGGGAGGCAGCAGUGGGGAAUAUUGCACAAUGGGCGGAAGCCUGAUGCAGCAACGCCGCGUGCGGGAUGACGGCCUUCGGGUUGUAAACCGCUUUCGCCUGUGACGAAGCGUGAGUGACGGUAAUGGGUAAAGAAGCACCGGCUAACUACGUGCCAGCAGCCGCGGUGAUACGUAGGGUGCGAGCGUUGUCCGGAUUUAUUGGGCGUAAAGGGCUCGUAGGUGGUUGAUCGCGUCGGAAGUGUAAUCUUGGGGCUUAACCCUGAGCGUGCUUUCGAUACGGGUUGACUUGAGGAAGGUAGGGGAGAAUGGAAUUCCUGGUGGAGCGGUGGAAUGCGCAGAUAUCAGGAGGAACACCAGUGGCGAAGGCGGUUCUCUGGGCCUUUCCUGACGCUGAGGAGCGAAAGCGUGGGGAGCGAACAGGCUUAGAUACCCUGGUAGUCCACGCUGUAAACGGUGGGUACUAGGUGUGGGGUCCAUUCCACGGGUUCCGUGCCGUAGCUAACGCUUUAAGUACCCCGCCUGGGGAGUACGGCCGCAAGGCUAAAACUCAAAGGAAUUGACGGGGCCCCGCACAAGCGGCGGAGCAUGCGGAUUAAUUCGAUGCAACGCGUAGAACCUUACCUGGGUUUGACAUGGAUCGGGAGUGCUCAGAGAUGGGUGUGCCUCUUUUGGGGUCGGUUCACAGGUGGUGCAUGGCUGUCGUCAGCUCGUGUCGUGAGAUGUUGGGUUAAGUCCCGCAACGAGCGCAACCCUUGUUCACUGUUGCCAGCACGUUAUGGUGGGGACUCAGUGGAGACCGCCGGGGUCAACUCGGAGGAAGGUGGGGAUGACGUCAAGUCAUCAUGCCCCUUAUGUCCAGGGCUUCACGCAUGCUACAAUGGCUGGUACAGAGAGUGGCGAGCCUGUGAGGGUGAGCGAAUCUCGGAAAGCCGGUCUCAGUUCGGAUUGGGGUCUGCAACUCGACCUCAUGAAGUCGGAGUCGCUAGUAAUCGCAGAUCAGCAACGCUGCGGUGAAUACGUUCCCGGG